UACGUAGGGGGCAAGCGUUGUCCGGAAUCAUUGGGCGUAAAGCGCGUGUAGGCGGCCUUGUAAGUCCGUUCUGAAAGUCCGGGGCUCAACCCCGGGAGGCGGAUGGAUACUGCAAGGCUCGAGUCCGGAAGAGGCAAGUGGAAUUCCCGGUGUAGCGGUGAAAUGCGCAGAUAUCGAGAGGAACACCUGCGGCGAAGGCGGGUUGCUGGGCUGAUACUGACGCUGAGGCGCGAAAGCCAGGGGAGCGAACGGG
Molecule: ribosomal RNA, 253 nt
Filed under: uncultured bacterium
Lineage: Bacteria
Description: partial 16S ribosomal RNA
Rfam family: Bacterial small subunit ribosomal RNA
Source: RNAcentral